AAUGCAAUGUCUCUGUUCUUUCACUCUGUACUGAGUGAAUGUUUAUUUCUCUAGCUUGUUGAAAAACAAGAGUCUAAAACAAUUUCAUUUGAUCACAUAGCUAACGGAGUUAGCAAGCAUGGCAUUUUCUUUUGACUGCGCACAGGUCUCGCAAGCAAACAAUGAUCAUUAUGUGCAACCCGCACCCGUGCUACUUUUUACUUGUGGUGGGCGACUUCAGGUUUUUGGGUACACAGUGAAAAUGAACUUGACACUUGCAAAUGUGGAUUAUAAUGACGAAAAUAAAAUUGCAUUGACAUUAAUGCAUAAGGUCUGAGAAUUGAUGGGCGAAUGGGCGCGUUCCAGUGCAUGCUUUAUGAUACGUUUAAUGCAGUAGUAGUUUAUCCGGGGGGACUUGUUCAUAUCCCAGAUUGUGUUUAUGCUCUAAAGCAUGGAAUAGCACCUGUAUUGAUGUGUGUGCUAGGAAAAUAUGUAUAUGUUUAUGAACUGAACGUGUUGUUUGGUAUUUCAUGCCUUGUAAUUGAUAAUUGACCAUGAUGUCAAUUGGGUUGUUCUCAUUGGUCAAAUGCAUAAUGGGAAGUGUUAUUAUUAUUUUAGUCCUGUAAUUUCCUUGUUAGAGGGAGAGAAAGGGUAAAGUCGGCAUGCUUCUGGGUUUUCAGGUAUGAUUGAAACCUGUUUGUUUUUUUGAGCUCUAUUUGAUUUGAUUUAUGUUCCAUGUGUCCAGUUAAUUAUUUUUUUAUAUGGUGUUCAGUGGCUAAAUCACUUGCAAAUAAAAGGCCUCAAUCUGA
Oncorhynchus tshawytscha (Chinook salmon) is the source of this 788-nucleotide long non-coding RNA. RefSeq lists it as uncharacterized. The record is from RefSeq and is a predicted model, not a curated record. The transcript is spliced from 2 exons. Lineage: Eukaryota; Metazoa; Chordata; Actinopteri; Salmoniformes; Salmonidae.